GAACAUUUUGUCCUCUUUUAAGUGUGCUUGCAUGAGAAGCAGAAGUGUCUGUGGUUUUUUGUGUGUGUGUGCAUCGGAGGUCUGAAGGUCAACGUCUGGUUUCGGUCUUGCAGACAGCUCCCACACUGGAAAGUCCCCGCUAUAUAUACAUUUCUUCUUUAUUCUGUUUGUAUAACAUGCCCAUAUUAAGAGUGUCUUCCUUCUUCUGUAUAACUUUUAAAGGUCAGCCCACUAUGUAUAUAUGUCCCUGCCCAUCCUGUAUUUGUCAGGCUUGCAGAAUAAACCAUUCUAACUACAGUUUGGUCUCUUCUCAUGUCUCCGGGUCGACCUGCUGAACUUUGCUGAAUCUGGUGCCUAAUAUAGGGGAAUCUUACAGACUUGGGGGCUUCGUCCGGGAUACAUCUGAUCAGACUCUCUUUGUUUUACAGAUUUUGGGGGCCCCCACAUCAGCUAGCACCUCCACGCAGCAUAACUACUAGAAGGAUCAGCAUGAAGUGGCUAUGGACAUUGGGACUGUUUCUCUUUCUUGUUGCUCAAGCUAAUGCAGCCAGGCUGAAACGCUGGACACAUGAUCAUGAAUUUGGAUGGGCAGAGGAUGGGGCUGACAAUCCAAUUGAAAUAAUAUGUGGUAUCAAUAUGUAAAUGAGUUUUAGCUAGGUCAUAUAAUGUAUCUGGUUGUUAUGUAUGUUCUGUUAUGCCUCAUUCAGCCAAACAAACCCCUCUUUAUGCCAAACCCAUGAAUAAGACCUCUGCUAAAUGUUUUGCCAGUUUUGCAGGAUCAGGGUACCAGGACCCAUAUAUAAUUGUCGAUGACUACGAUCCAUACCGGAUUGGCAUUGGAAAUGGUACAUGUGAUGCUCUAUUUUGGGUAAAAUUUGGCCACGCUAAACCCGCACCUAUUAGCCACAAGGUUUUUAUUAACCAUUCUAUUACACACCCUGUGUGUUAUAACCAGACCAUGGGCUCUCAUUUCAUGGGAAGCACUGUUAACUGUCAACAAAUUGCCUCCUCGGGAGAAGGGGCCCCAGUUUAUGUGUCAGGACCCUCAAACGGCACUUAUGUGGUCCAGGGUGGGUGGUGGUUGUGUGGAAAAAACGCCUACAUGUCCCUACCGGCCAACUGGACGGGGCAGUGUGCCCCUGUGCAUGUGACUGAUCACACUUUUAUUGUGACAGCCCAGGUCCUGUCAGCGCAGCGAAGAGUUAAACGCAGUGUCCCUGAAAUGAAGCCCCAUGACUCUGUAUGGGGUACUGACGUGCCCGAGGAUUUUAAAUUAUGGACCACUGGUAACAAAGUGGUAUUGGCUCUAUUUCCGCAAAUAGGUGUGGGAAAAGCUCUACUAAGAAUUGAGACCCUGGACUAUCGCAUGGGCCUAUUCCUGAAUGCCUCAAAAAUAAUUAAUGAGGCCCAGAAUAAGGAGCUGGGUAAUCUACGUACCAUGGUUUUG
Danio rerio (zebrafish) is the source of this 1447-nucleotide non-coding RNA. NCBI's taxonomy places the organism in Eukaryota, Metazoa, Chordata, Actinopteri, Cypriniformes, Danionidae. The record is from RefSeq and is a predicted model, not a curated record.